RNAcentral lists this ribosomal RNA (335 nucleotides) under Lema indica. RNAcentral's name for it is "partial 12S rRNA". The record is from RNAcentral. Lineage: Eukaryota; Metazoa; Arthropoda; Insecta; Coleoptera; Chrysomelidae.
AUUAGUAUUAGUUAUAUUCUUAAAAAUUAAAAAAUUUGGCGGUAUUUUAAUCUUUUCAGAGGAACUUGUUUUAUAAUUGAUAAUCCACGAUUUAAGUUACUUAUUUUUUAAAUUUGUAUAUCGUCGUUAUAAAGAAUUUUUAAAAAAUUAAAAUUUUUAUAAUAUUAAAUUAGAUAAAAAAUCAGAUCAUUAUGUAGUUAAUAGGUAAGUAAAAAUGAGUUACAUUAAUUUUAUUUGGGGAUAUUUAAUAGAAUAUUAAAUUAAAUUUGGAUUUGAAAGUAAAAAAAUUAAAUUUAAUUUUUUGAUUUAGCUCUAAAAUAUGUACACAUCGCCCG